This 874-nucleotide ribosomal RNA is filed under the name uncultured Campylobacterota bacterium. Its description in RNAcentral is "bacterial SSU rRNA". It matches the Rfam family "Bacterial small subunit ribosomal RNA", at positions 28 to 916 of the family's 1533-position model. Lineage: Bacteria; Pseudomonadati; Campylobacterota. The record is from RNAcentral.
AGUGAACGCUGGCGGCGUGCUUAACACAUGCAAGUCGAACGGUAACAGGAAGAGCUUGCUCUUUGCUGACGAGUGGCGCACGGGUGAGUAAUAUAUAGGUAAUGUGCCCCAAAGACCGGGAUAGCCACUGGAAACGGUGAUUAAUACUGGAUAUGCCUCUAAAUCAUGAGAUUGCGAGGGAAACGUUUUUUCGCUUUGGGAUCGGCCUAUAUCCUAUCAGCUUGUUGGUGAGGUAAGAGCUCACCAAGGCGAUGACGGGUAGCGGGUUUGAGAGGAUGAUCCGCCACACUGGUACUGAGACACGGACCAGACUCCUACGGGAGGCAGCAGUGAGGAAUAUUGCACAAUGGGGGAAACCCUGAUGCAGCAACGCCGCGUGGAGGAUGACGCAUUUCGGUGUGUAAACUCCUUUUAUAUGUCAAGAAAAUGACGGUAGCAUAUGAAUAAGCGCCGGCUAACUCCGUGCCAGCAGCCGCGGUAAUACGGAGGGCGCAAGCGUUACUCGGAAUCACUGGGCGUAAAGGACGCGUAGGCGGGUUGGUAAGUCAGGUGUGAAAUCCUACAGCUUAACUGUAGAACUGCACUUGAAACUACUAACCUAGAGUAUGGGAGGGGCAGAUGGAAUUAGUGGUGUAGGGGUAAAAUCCGUAGAUAUCACUAGGAAUACCGAAAGCGAAGGCGAUCUGCUGGAACAUAACUGACGCUGAGGCGUGAAAGCGUGGGGAGCAAACAGGAUUAGAUACCCUGGUAGUCCACGCCCUAAACGAUGAACACUAGUCGUCGGGGUACUUGUUACUUCGGUGAUGCACUUAACAGAUUAAGUGUUCCGCCUGGGGAGUACGGUCGCAAGAUUAAAACUCAAAGGAAUAGACGG